CAGAAAAUAGUUUUAAGAAAAAUAUUAAUUUUGGAGAUUAAAGAUGAGUGUAUAUUUUUUCUGA
This 64-nucleotide transfer RNA is filed under the name Tetratoma fungorum. RNAcentral describes it as "tRNA-Pro". The record is from RNAcentral. Lineage: Eukaryota; Metazoa; Arthropoda; Insecta; Coleoptera; Tetratomidae.